This is a long non-coding RNA of Solanum pennellii, 438 nucleotides long. RefSeq lists it as uncharacterized. The record is from RefSeq and is a predicted model, not a curated record. The transcript is spliced from 4 exons. NCBI's taxonomy places the organism in Eukaryota, Viridiplantae, Streptophyta, Magnoliopsida, Solanales, Solanaceae.
ACUUAUCUCUUAAAAUCUGAUUUCUAGGGUAGUCAUUUUCUAAGAAACCAAUUUUACAGCUUCAAAAUUAUAUCCAAAAUCCUCCCAAAAUCAAAGUUACCAUAAAAUUCUUAAUCAAUUAGAUCUCUAUCAAGCUUCCACGAAUUUAGGAUCUGGGUUGUUAUGUCUAAACGAAAUAACACAAGGAUAAUCACAAGAGGAUAUACUGCUGCUAUGGAAUUACAUAAGAAGUCGAAAGAUGAAAUAGUAAGGACUCCUUCAAAAAGAAAAGGGUCAACGGUGAAAGCGAUUCAAAAAAAUUGUUACAAGAGGAGGAAAGUAAAAAAUGUAGUUUCCGACAUGAUCGGAGAACAUGCAGUUAAUGAAGAACAAGACGAAGUCAGUGAAGAAUUAAAGGGUAUCAGAUUCCAUGUAUUGGCUCGCCCAAUUAAACCACCA